RNAcentral lists this ribosomal RNA (746 nucleotides) under uncultured Alphaproteobacteria bacterium. RNAcentral's name for it is "bacterial SSU rRNA". It matches the Rfam family "Bacterial small subunit ribosomal RNA", at positions 61 to 842 of the family's 1533-position model. Lineage: Bacteria; Pseudomonadati; Pseudomonadota; Alphaproteobacteria. The record is from RNAcentral.
GUCGAGCGAAGCUAAAUUUCGGUUUAGUGGAAAGCGGCGGACGGGUGAGUAACGCGUGGGAAUUUACCAUAGAGUGGGGGACAACUGCUGGAAACGGCAGCUAAUACCGCAUACGCCCUAAGGGGGAAAGGCUUCGGCCGCUCUUUGAGAAGCCCGCGUACGAUUAGUUUGUUGGUGGGGUAAUGGCCUACCAAGACUACGAUCGUUAGCUGGUCUGAGAGGACGAUCAGCCACACUGGGACUGAGACACGGCCCAGACUCCUACGGGAGGCAGCAGUGGGGAAUAUUGGACAAUGGGCGAAAGCCUGAUCCAGCGAUGCCGCGUGAGUGAAGAAGGCCUUAGGGUUGUAAAGCUCUUUCGGUGGGGAAGAUAAUGACGGUACCCACAAAAGAAGCCCCGGCUAACUCCGUGCCAGCAGCCGCGGUAAUACGGAGGGGGCUAACGUUACUCGGAAUUACUGGGCGUAAAGCGAGCGUAGGCGGUUAAUUAAGUUGAGGGUGAAAGCCCGGGGCUCAACCCCGGAAAUGCCCUCAAAACUAGUUAGCUAGAGGACGGGAGAGGGGAGUGGAACUCCCAGUGUAGAGGUGAAAUUCGUAGAUAUUGGGAAGAACACCAGUGGCGAAGGCGACUCUCUGGACCGUUUCUGACGCUGAGGCUCGAAAGCGUGGGUAGCAAACAGGAUUAGAUACCCUGGUAGUCCACGCCGUAAACGAUGAGUGCUAGACGUUGGGAGGAACGCCUCUCA